GACGAACGCUGGCGGCGUGCUUAACACAUGCAAGUCGAACGAUGAAGCCUAGCUUGCUAGGUGGAUUAGUGGCGAACGGGUGAGUAAUACGUGAGUAACCUACCUUUAACUCUGGGAUAAGCCUGGGAAACUGGGUCUAAUACCGGAUACGACCAAUCUCCGCAUGGGGUGUUGGUGGAAAGCGUUAUGUAGUGGUUAUAGAUGGGCUCACGGCCUAUCAGCUUGUUGGUGAGGUAACGGCUCACCAAGGCGACGACGGGUAGCCGGCCUGAGAGGGUGACCGGCCACACUGGGACUGAGACACGGCCCAGACUCCUACGGGAGGCAGCAGUGGGGAAUAUUGCACAAUGGGCGCAAGCCUGAUGCAGCGACGCCGCGUGAGGGAUGACGGCCUUCGGGUUGUAAACCUCUGUUAGCAGGGAAGAAGAGAAAUUGACGGUACCUGCAGAGAAAGCGCCGGCUAACUACGUGCCAGCAGCCGCGGUAAUACGUAGGGCGCGAGCGUUGUCCGGAAUUAUUGGGCGUAAAGAGCUUGUAGGCGGUUUGUCGCGUCUGCUGUGAAGGCCGGGGCUUAACCCCGUGUAUUGCAGUGGGUACGGGCAGACUAGAGUGCAGUAGGGGAGACUGGAAUUCCUGGUGUAGCGGUGGAAUGCGCAGAUAUCAGGAGGAACACCGAUGGCGAAGGCAGGUCUCUGGGCUGUAACUGACGCUGAGAAGCGAAAGCAUGGGGAGCGAACAGGAUUAGAUACCCUGGUAGUCCAUGCCGUAAACGUUGGGCACUAGGUGUGGGGGACAUUCCACGUUUUCCGCGCCGUAGCUAACGCAUUAAGUGCCCCGCCUGGGGAGUACGGCCGCAAGGCUAAAACUCAAAGAAAUUGACGGGGGCCCGCACAAGCGGCGGAGCAUGCGGAUUAAUUCGAUGCAACGCGAAGAACCUUACCAAGGCUUGACAUAUACUGGACCGCAUCAGAGAUGGUGUUUCCCUUCGGGGCUGGUAUACAGGUGGUGCAUGGUUGUCGUCAGCUCGUGUCGUGAGAUGUUGGGUUAAGUCCCGCAACGAGCGCAACCCUCGUUCUAUGUUGCCAGCACGUUAUGGUGGGGACUCAUAGGAGACUGCCGGGGUCAACUCGGAGGAAGGUGGGGAUGACGUCAAAUCAUCAUGCCCCUUAUGUCUUGGGCUUCACGCAUGCUACAAUGGCCGGUACAGAGGGUUGCGAUACUGUGAGGUGGAGCUAGUCCCUAAAAGCCGGUCUCAGUUCGGAUUGGGGUCUGCAACUCGACCCCAUGAAGUCGGAGUCGCUAGUAAUCGCAGAUCAGCAACGCUGCGGUGAAUACGUUCCCGGGCCU
RNAcentral lists this ribosomal RNA (1347 nucleotides) under uncultured bacterium. RNAcentral's name for it is "bacterial SSU rRNA". It matches the Rfam family "Bacterial small subunit ribosomal RNA", at positions 28 to 1381 of the family's 1533-position model. The record is from RNAcentral.